This 253-nucleotide ribosomal RNA is filed under the name uncultured bacterium. Its description in RNAcentral is "partial 16S ribosomal RNA". It matches the Rfam family "Bacterial small subunit ribosomal RNA", at positions 524 to 776 of the family's 1533-position model. The record is from RNAcentral.
UACAGAGGGUGCGAGCGUUGUCCGGAAUUACUGGGCGUAAAGGGCGCGUAGGCGGCUUGGUAAGUCGGGGGUGAAAGUCAGCGGCUCAACCGCUGGACUGCCUUCGAGACUGCCUGGCUUGAGCAUGGUAGAGGCUGGCGGAAUUCCCGGUGUAGCGGUGGAAUGCGUAGAGAUCGGGAAGAACAUCAGUGGCGAAGGCGGCCAGCUGGGCCAUUGCUGACGCUGAUGCGCGACAGCGUGGGGAGCAAACAGG